AACGCGAAGAACCUUACCCAGGUUUGACAUGCAGUGGACAGGUACAGAGAUGUACCCUCCCUUCGGGGCCGCUGCACAGGUGCUGCAUGGCUGUCGUCAGCUCGUGCCGUGAGGUGUUGGGUUAAGUCCCGCAACGAGCGCAACCCUUAUCAUUAGUUGCCAACACGUAAAGGUGGGAACUCUAGUGAGACUGCCCGGGUUAACCGGGAGGAAGGUGAGGAUGACGUCAAGUCCGCAUGGCCCUUAUAUCUGGGGCUACACACGUGCUACAAUGGUCGGUACAGAAGGCUGCGAAACCGCGAGGUGAAGCAAAUCCCUAAAGCCGAUCCCAGUUCAGAUUGUAGUCUGCAACUCGACUACAUGAAGUUGGAAUUGCUAGUAAUGGCGAGUCAGCUACAUCGCCGUGAAUACGUUCCCGGGCCUUGUACACACCGGAGUGC
RNAcentral lists this ribosomal RNA (440 nucleotides) under uncultured bacterium. RNAcentral describes it as "bacterial SSU rRNA". It matches the Rfam family "Bacterial small subunit ribosomal RNA", at positions 958 to 1398 of the family's 1533-position model. The record is from RNAcentral.